Molecule: ribosomal RNA, 253 nt
Filed under: Leyella stercorea DSM 18206
Lineage: Bacteria; Pseudomonadati; Bacteroidota; Bacteroidia; Bacteroidales; Prevotellaceae
Description: Prevotella stercorea DSM 18206 partial 16S ribosomal RNA
Rfam family: Bacterial small subunit ribosomal RNA
Source: RNAcentral
UACGGAAGGUCCAGGCGUUAUCCGGAUUUAUUGGGUUUAAAGGGAGCGUAGGCCGUUUGGUAAGCGUGUUGUGAAAUGUCGGGGCUCAACCUGGGCAUUGCAGCGCGAACUGCCAGACUUGAGUGCGCAGGAAGUAGACGGAAUUCGUCGUGUAGCGGUGAAAUGCUUAGAUAUGACGAAGAACUCCGAUUGCGAAGGCAGCCUGCUGUAGCGCAACUGACGCUGAAGCUCGAAAGCGUGGGUAUCGAACAGG